Molecule: long non-coding RNA, 225 nt
Filed under: Elaeis guineensis (African oil palm)
Lineage: Eukaryota; Viridiplantae; Streptophyta; Magnoliopsida; Arecales; Arecaceae
Description: long non-coding RNA (EGUI_LNC010135)
Source: RNAcentral
GGUCUGUUAAGUUCCUGCUCGCAAACAUCUUUUGAUAACUCGACCACAUUACAUCGCCUGAGCAAAUACUAUCAUGCAGACCCGACAAUCCUCUUCUAGCUGGGACUCCCAUCAAAGCAUGGCCUGGGAAAGCUGAGAGAGCACAAGGACAAUGUUUGGGUGGGGAACAACCGCUAGCCAGUCUAAGUACAUAGAAAUUGCUUUCCUGGCUGUUGCAGGGGUCAC